RNAcentral lists this unclassified non-coding RNA (371 nucleotides) under uncultured Sphingobacteriales bacterium. RNAcentral describes it as "contains 16S-23S intergenic spacer region". The record is from RNAcentral. Lineage: Bacteria; Pseudomonadati; Bacteroidota; Sphingobacteriia; Sphingobacteriales.
UCACCGCUUACGCGGGCAGUUUCUAUAGAGUCCCCAGCAUAACCUGUUGGCAACUAUAAGAUAGGGGUUGCGCUCGUUAUGGGACUUAACCCGACACCUCACGGCACGAGCCGACGACAGCCAUGCAGCACCUUGUAGACUGUUCCGAAGAAAAGCCCUGUUUCCAGAGCGGUCACUCUACAUUCAAACCUUGGUAAGGUUCCUCGCGUAUCAUCGAAUUAAACCACAUGCUCCACCGCUUGUGCGGGCCCCCGUCAAUUCCUUUGAGUUUCAACCUUGCGAUCGUACUCCCCAGGUGGAUUACUUAAUGCUUUCGCUUAGACACUGACUUGCGCCAAUAUCGAGUAAUCAUCGUUUACUGCGUGGACUAC